CCCGCCGAGGCCAUUGCUAUCGGAGUUCGAUUUAGCCAUGCUAGUCGCACGGGCUUAGACCCGUGGCGAAAAGCUCAGUAACACGUGGCCAAACUACCCUAUGGAUCGGAAUAACCUCGGGAAACUGAGGUCAAUUCCGAAUAUCGCUCCUGCACUGGGAUGUGCGGAGCACGAAACGCUACGGCGCCAUAGGAUGUGGCUGCGGCCGAUUAGGUUGACGGUGGGGUAACGGCCCACCGUGCCCAUAAUCGGUACGGGUUGUGAGAGCAAGAGCCCGGAGACGGUAUCUGAGACAAGAUACCGGGCCCUACGGGGCGCAGCAGGCGCGAAACCUUUACACUGCACGACAGUGCGAUAGGGGGACACCGAGUGCGAGGGCAUAGAGCCCUCGCUUUUGUAGACCGUAAGGAGGUCUACGAAUAAGGGCUGGGCAAGACCGGUGCCAGCCGCCGCGGUAACACCGGCAGCCCAAGUGAUGGCCGAUAUUAUUGGGCCUAAAGCGUCCGUAGCUGGCCAGUCAAGUCUGUCGGGAAACCUGCCCGCUCAACGGGCAGUCGUCCGGCGGAAACUGAUUGGCUUGGGACCGGGAGACUCGAGGAGUACGUCCGGGGUAGGAGUGAAAUCCUGUAAUCCUGGACGGACUACCGAUGGCGAAAGCACCUCGAGAGAACGGAUCCGACAGUGAGGGACGAAAGCUGGGGUCUCGAACCGGAUUAGAUACCCGGGUAGUCCCAGCCGUAAACGAUGCCCGCUAGGUGUGGCACAGGCUACGAGCCUGUGCUAUGCCGCAGUGAAGACCCAAGCGGGCCGCCUGGGAAGUACGUCUGCAAGGAUGAAACUUAAAGGAAUUGGCGGGGGGAGCACUACAACCGGAGGAGCCUGCGGUUUAAUGUUAU
This 896-nucleotide ribosomal RNA is filed under the name uncultured archaeon. RNAcentral's name for it is "bacterial SSU rRNA". It matches the Rfam family "Archaeal small subunit ribosomal RNA", at positions 14 to 911 of the family's 1478-position model. The record is from RNAcentral.